UGAACCCUGCAUCCUGCCCACGACCCCCCAGAAACACCUACGCACCACCCUCCUGGCAGCCUCAGCCCCGCCAGCCUCGCCGCGAGGAACCCCAGCGCCGCGGCAGAACCACGGCACUUCCGCCCGCCUCCCGCCCCUCGGGCGCAAGCGUUUGGUGUGUCUGCGUCGGGGGCGGAGCCUCUUGUCCCUCUGCGCGGCCCGUUCCGCCUCUCUUCUCCCACCGCCUGUCGGCUGACGUGUCUUCAGUUCCUCCGCGUCUACUGCGAGUCAGGCCGUGAUGGCGGACGCCUGGGAAGAGAUUAGGCGGUUGGCGGCCGACUUCCAGCGGGCGCAGUUCGCCGAGGCCACGCAGAGAUUUGAAGAUUGGAAGCAGGCCUGUAAGAGACAACAGACUUGAAAUUUGUGAUGGGAUGAUGUGUACCAAUUAAAUAAAUGAUUUAAGCAUAUGUAAACCUA
RNAcentral lists this small RNA (456 nucleotides) under Pongo abelii (Sumatran orangutan). RNAcentral describes it as "processed transcript". The record is from RNAcentral. Lineage: Eukaryota; Metazoa; Chordata; Mammalia; Primates; Hominidae.